RNAcentral lists this ribosomal RNA (439 nucleotides) under uncultured bacterium. Its description in RNAcentral is "partial 16S ribosomal RNA". It matches the Rfam family "Bacterial small subunit ribosomal RNA", at positions 339 to 795 of the family's 1533-position model. The record is from RNAcentral.
CCACGGGAGGCAGCAGUGGGGAAUAUUGCACAAUGGGGGAAACCCUGAUGCAGCAACGCCGCGUGAGUGAAGAAGUAUUUCGGUAUGUAAAGCUCUAUCAGCAGGGAAGAGAAUGACGGUACCUGACUAAGCAGCCCCGGCUAACUACGUGCCAGCAGCCGCGGUAAUACGUAGGGGGCAAGCGUUAUCCGGAUUGACUGGGGGUAAAGGGAGCGUAGACGGCUGUACAAGUCUGAAGUGAAAGCCCGUGGCUCAACCGCGGAACUGCUUUGGAAACUGUAAAGCUGGAGGAGUGGAGAGGCAGGCGGAAUGCAUAGUGUAGAGGUGAAAUGCGUAGAGAGGAGGAGGAACACCAGUGGCGAAGGCGGCCUGCUGGACAGAAACUGACGUUGAGGCGCGAAAGCGUGGGGAGCAAACAGGAUUAGAUACCCUGGUAGUC